UGGGUUUUAUGCUUGGAUACUUAUAGCAUUAUGGAAACACUUCGAUCCAUUCCGAACUCGAUUGUGAAACAUUUUAGCGGCGAAAAUACUAAAGAAGCAGUUCUUUGGAAAAAUAGCUCAGUAUCUAAGC
This 130-nucleotide ribosomal RNA is filed under the name Cyanidium sp. THAL103. Lineage: Eukaryota; Rhodophyta; Bangiophyceae; Cyanidiales; Cyanidiaceae. The record is from RNAcentral.